This 484-nucleotide ribosomal RNA is filed under the name uncultured bacterium. RNAcentral's name for it is "partial 16S ribosomal RNA". It matches the Rfam family "Bacterial small subunit ribosomal RNA", at positions 30 to 507 of the family's 1533-position model. The record is from RNAcentral.
AUUGAACGCUGGCGGCAGGCCUAACACAUGCCAGUCGAGCGGAUGAAGGGAGCUUGCUCCUGGAUUCAGCGGCGGACGGGUGAGUAAUGCCUAGGAAUCUGCCUGGCAGUGGGGGAUAACGUCCGGAAACGGGCGCUAAUACCGCAUACGUCCUGAGGGAGAAAGUGGGGGAUCUUCGGACCUCACGCUAUCAGAUGAGCCUAGGUCGGAUUAGCUAGUUGGUGGGGUAAAGGCCUACCAAGGCGACGAUCCGUAACUGGUCUGAGAGGAUGAUCAGUCACACUGGAACUGAGACACGGUCCAGACUCCUACGGGAGGCAGCAGUGGGGAAUAUUGGACAGUGGGCGAAAGCCUGAUCCAGCCAUGCCGCGUGUGUGAAGAAGGUCUUCGGAUUGUAAAGCACUUUAAGUUGGGAGGAAGGGCAGUAAGUUAAUACCUUGCUGUUUUGACGUUACCAACAGAAUAAGCACCGGCUAACUUCGUG